UGUGAUGGACAGCUUGAGUUUGAAUCAAGU
RNAcentral lists this non-coding RNA (30 nucleotides) under Mus musculus (house mouse). Lineage: Eukaryota; Metazoa; Chordata; Mammalia; Rodentia; Muridae. The record is from RNAcentral.